CCCUGACUAAGCCCCCUGUUCACCUCAACCUCACUCUUGCCCUUGAUGAGUAGGCGCUUGCUCAGGAAGCUGGCAAUCCAGGCAGUGUGAUUCGGGUCGAACUGCAUGACAUUCAUCUUCUGCUCUAGCGUGUCGACUCUUACGCAGUCAAAUGCCCUUUGUAGGUCAAGACAGGCCGCCACGACCUGAUUCCCUCCCGCUUUCAGAGCCA
RNAcentral lists this long non-coding RNA (211 nucleotides) under Drosophila guanche. Lineage: Eukaryota; Metazoa; Arthropoda; Insecta; Diptera; Drosophilidae. The record is from RNAcentral.